UCUGACAGCCAGCGGGACAUAACAUCUGGAAUGUUAUAAGUCAACAGCUCUGCUUGGAGAGCGGGAUGGUGAGAGGACACCAGGAGGGAGAGGUGUUGAGCCCUGGAAGACAGCUCAGCUCGGCAGGGAACAAAGGUAACUACUGAUAGCUCAAGAAAUGAAGACAAUGAGCAGUGAAACAUGGAUGGAUCUGAGAAAUACUUAAGACUUGGAGAUUGAUUGGAUUUGUACUCUCUUUCAAAGGGCAAAGAAGAUGUUGGUUGGAAGGAUGUGCCAUCUGGCACCCAUGCUCCCUCUUCUAGACCAUGUUCGGGCUUCCCCAAAUCUGUAAUCCUUGUCCAGUAGCCCUCGGAUGCUUUAGGAACAUCAUGAGUCUUUUCUCUGGCAAGCCUGCUAAGGGUAGCCUGUGCUGCUGCUGCUUUAUUUUUUAAUAGAGCUAAAAUUGAUACAUAACAUUAUUAGCUUCAAGUAUAUAAUAUAAUAAUUUGAUCUUUGUAUACACUACAAAGCAAUCACCACAAUAACUCCAGUUCAUGUGUUAUCAUAUAAUUACCCCCCUUCACCCAUUUUGCCUACCUUCCACUCCCUUCCCUUCUGAUAACCACCAAACAGUUCUCUGUAUCUAUGUGUUUUGUUUUGUUUGAGACACGCACACGUGUGUGUGUGUGUUCAUUUCAUAUGAAUGAAAUCAUACAAUAUUUGUCUUUCUCUGACUUAUUUUACUUAGCAUAAUACCCUCAAGGUCAAGGUCCACACGUGGUGUUGCAAAUGGAAGAAUUUCCUUCUUUUUAUGGCUGAAUAGUAUUCCACUGUACAUAUACCAUGUCUUCUUUUUCUAUUCAUCCAUCAAUGGACAUUUAAGUUCUUUCCAUAUCUUAGCUAAUAUAAAUAGUGUUGUAGUAAACAUCAAAGUGAUAUAUCUUUUUUAAAUUAGUAUUUUCUUCUUUUUCAGAUAAAUACCCAGAAGUGGUAUAGCUGGAUCAUAUGGUAAUUGUAUCUUUAAUUUUUUUAGGA
Long non-coding RNA from Felis catus (domestic cat), 1014 nucleotides. RefSeq lists it as uncharacterized. The record is from RefSeq and is a predicted model, not a curated record. Lineage: Eukaryota; Metazoa; Chordata; Mammalia; Carnivora; Felidae. The transcript is spliced from 3 exons.